CUCUAAUUAAUCGGAUGGAAAAUUUAAAAAUGUAAGUCAAGGUAACCUUCAGCAAUUAAAAGAACACUCUUCUUAUCUGCCCAAGUCUUACUGUGUUGUAUAUCGUCUAUAAUUUGUAUUUGUAAUUUACUGUUAUCUAACUAAUAAUUGUGAAUAAUAAUAAUUAUUGUUA
This 172-nucleotide long non-coding RNA is filed under the name Amphimedon queenslandica. RNAcentral describes it as "uncharacterized LOC109592719". The record is from RNAcentral. Lineage: Eukaryota; Metazoa; Porifera; Demospongiae; Haplosclerida; Niphatidae.